RNAcentral lists this ribosomal RNA (2538 nucleotides) under Salmonella enterica subsp. enterica serovar Johannesburg. Its description in RNAcentral is "partial 23S ribosomal RNA". It matches the Rfam family "Bacterial large subunit ribosomal RNA", at positions 420 to 2925 of the family's 2925-position model. The record is from RNAcentral. Lineage: Bacteria; Pseudomonadati; Pseudomonadota; Gammaproteobacteria; Enterobacterales; Enterobacteriaceae.
GGACACGUGGUAUCCUGUCUGAAUAUGGGGGGACCAUCCUCCAAGGCUAAAUACUCCUGACUGACCGAUAGUGAACCAGUACCGUGAGGGAAAGGCGAAAAGAACCCCGGCGAGGGGAGUGAAAAAGAACCUGAAACCGUGUACGUACAAGCAGUGGGAGCACCCUUUGGGGUGUGACUGCGUACCUUUUGUAUAAUGGGUCAGCGACUUAUAUUCUGUAGCAAGGUUAACCGAAUAGGGGAGCCGGAGGGAAACCGAGUCUUAACCGGGCGUUAAGUUGCAGGGUAUAGACCCGAAACCCGGUGAUCUAGCCAUGGGCAGGUUGAAGGUUGGGUAACACUAACUGGAGGACCGAACCGACUAAUGUUGAAAAAUUAGCGGAUGACCUGUGGCUGGGGGUGAAAGGCCAAUCAAACCGGGAGAUAGCUGGUUCUCCCCGAAAGCUAUUUAGGUAGCGCCUCGUGAAUUCAUCUCCGGGGGUAGAGCACUGUUUCGGCUAGGGGGCCAUCCCGGCUUACCAACCCGAUGCAAACUGCGAAUACCGGAGAAUGUUAUCACGGGAGACACACGGCGGGUGCUAACGUCCGUCGUGAAGAGGGAAACAACCCAGACCGCCAGCUAAGGUCCCAAAGUCAUGGUUAAGUGGGAAACGAUGUGGGAAGGCCCAGACAGCCAGGAUGUUGGCUUAGAAGCAGCCAUCAUUUAAAGAAAGCGUAAUAGCUCACUGGUCGAGUCGGCCUGCGCGGAAGAUGUAACGGGGCUAAACCAUGCACCGAAGCUGCGGCAGCGACGCUGAUGCGUUGUUGGGUAGGGGAGCGUUCUGUAAGCCUGCGAAGGUGUGUCGUGAGGCAUGCUGGAGGUAUCAGAAGUGCGAAUGCUGACAUAAGUAACGAUAAAGCGGGUGAAAAGCCCGCUCGCCGGAAGACCAAGGGUUCCUGUCCAACGUUAAUCGGGGCAGGGUGAGUCGACCCCUAAGGCGAGGCCGAAAGGCGUAGUCGAUGGGAAACGGGUUAAUAUUCCCGUACUUGGUGUUACUGCGAAGGGGGGACGGAGAAGGCUAUGUUGGCCGGGCGACGGUUGUCCCGGUUUAAGCGUGUAGGUGUGUGUUCCAGGUAAAUCCGGUUCACUUUAACACUGAGGCGUGAUGACGAGGCACUACGGUGCUGAAGCAACAAAUGCCCUGCUUCCAGGAAAAGCCUCUAAGCAUCAGGUAACAUCAAAUCGUACCCCAAACCGACACAGGUGGUCAGGUAGAGAAUACCAAGGCGCUUGAGAGAACUCGGGUGAAGGAACUAGGCAAAAUGGUGCCGUAACUUCGGGAGAAGGCACGCUGACACGUAGGUGAAGUGAUUUACUCAUGGAGCUGAAGUCAGUCGAAGAUACCAGCUGGCUGCAACUGUUUAUUAAAAACACAGCACUGUGCAAACACGAAAGUGGACGUAUACGGUGUGACGCCUGCCCGGUGCCGGAAGGUUAAUUGAUGGGGUCAGCGCAAGCGAAGCUCCUGAUCGAAGCCCCGGUAAACGGCGGCCGUAACUAUAACGGUCCUAAGGUAGCGAAAUUCCUUGUCGGGUAAGUUCCGACCUGCACGAAUGGCGUAAUGAUGGCCAGGCUGUCUCCACCCGAGACUCAGUGAAAUUGAACUCGCUGUGAAGAUGCAGUGUACCCGCGGCAAGACGGAAAGACCCCGUGAACCUUUACUAUAGCUUGACACUGAACAUUGAGCCUUGAUGUGUAGGAUAGGUGGGAGGCUUUGAAGUGUGGACGCCAGUCUGCAUGGAGCCGGCCUUGAAAUACCACCCUUUAAUGUUUGAUGUUCUAACGUGGACCCGUGAUCCGGGUUGCGGACAGUGUCUGGUGGGUAGUUUGACUGGGGCGGUCUCCUCCUAAAGAGUAACGGAGGAGCACGAAGGUUGGCUAAUCCUGGUCGGACAUCAGGAGGUUAGUGCAAUGGCAUAAGCCAGCUUGACUGCGAGCGUGACGGCGCGAGCAGGUGCGAAAGCAGGUCAUAGUGAUCCGGUGGUUCUGAAUGGAAGGGCCAUCGCUCAACGGAUAAAAGGUACUCCGGGGAUAACAGGCUGAUACCGCCCAAGAGUUCAUAUCGACGGCGGUGUUUGGCACCUCGAUGUCGGCUCAUCACAUCCUGGGGCUGAAGUAGGUCCCAAGGGUAUGGCUGUUCGCCAUUUAAAGUGGUACGCGAGCUGGGUUUAGAACGUCGUGAGACAGUUCGGUCCCUAUCUGCCGUGGGCGCUGGAGAACUGAGGGGGGCUGCUCCUAGUACGAGAGGACCGGAGUGGACGCAUCACUGGUGUUCGGGUUGUCAUGCCAAUGGCACUGCCCGGUAGCUAAAUGCGGAAGAGAUAAGUGCUGAAAGCAUCUAAGCACGAAACUUGCCCCGAGAUGAGUUCUCCCUGAGACUUAGAGUCUCCUGAAGGAACGUUGAAGACGACGACGUUGAUAGGCCGGGUGUGUAAGCGCAGCGAUGCGUUGAGCUAACCGGUACUAAUGAACCGUGAGGCUUAACCUUACAACGCCGAA